CACCCAAACCCAAUCCCCUUUUCAAACUCUAUAAAUACAAAGCCGGAGUGAAGUCCAGUUUGCCAAAUUGAAUGCCUGAAAACCCCAUUUCCAGAAGCAGCAUAACCAAAACUCGUAUUUUCAAUGGCGGCUUAUUAUUCCCCACGUAAAUCAAGCGGACCGGUUCUCCGAUCACUAUCGCCUUCCGGAAGAUUCGGCCACCAAUGUUCCUCACGCUCCUCUCACGCGCCGUCUUCUCACACUGUAUCGUCCUUCGCUUCCACCACAUCUUCCACCUUUACAACCGCUCGCUCCUUGCAAAGGCCCACUUCUCCUACCCGCGUAAAUCUCUAUAACUACACAAACCGCUCCGUCCGUUUCACCACCUCACCGAACCGGUCAAUCUCCGUGUCGAGCAAGGAGAAUCCCCGGGUCGCCACCGGUCAGAAGAGAAAUUGUAUGUGCUCCCCCACCAACCACCCUGGUUCGUUCCGUUGCAGCUUACAUAAAGGAUUCGCGAACCAAAGUUCAGUUCAUUCCCAAACGGCGUCGUCUCCAAUGCGAUUGAACAUGCGGCGUUCCGCCAUGACGAACUCUCUGGUGAGGAUAGGGACUGUGGAAGGAGACCUAAUGAAGAGAACUCUGGCAGCGUUGAUCCGUCCCUCCUCCCAUCAGCAGCGACGCCGCGCCGGGUUUCAGCCACGCAAAAGCCGGCUUUCCGUCAUGUCCAAGGCCGAAGGUCAUUGAAUGGUGAUUAAUCAUGCGACGGCGCGUACGGUGGCGAUGACGUCACUUUCUGGAAUCGAACGGAACGGGUUUUUUUUUUUUUGUAUUCCGUAAUCCGAUAGGAUCCGAAACAUUGUCACUGAGUAAUUAAUUUCGUGUAUAAAUAUAAUUACCUGCCAAUUAGUUUUCCAAAAUUGGAUUCUUAACUUCAACUUAAUUAUUGGAUAACAAUUCCAACUACGGACUGGACUUAAUCUGAAAAACAAUCAGAAAUUUAAAUUAUCACAAAUAUUCAUAUAUCAAGGCUAUUUUAUACCCUCAUUCAUUGACAUAAUUUAAUCAAAUAAUAAUUUUUUUCUUUCAACCCUCUUUUCCUCCAACAUUUCGGAAUUUUUCUGUUGAUCAAACCGACUCAAUGAUUUUGGUUUUUUUUUUUUUUUUUUUUUUUCUUUUUAACCAUUGGUGCUUUCAAGUUGACUCCGUCUAUUACGUGUAUACGUAUUUGUGGUGUAUUUAACUAUAAUUCUACUUUUAUGAAUUUUUUUUUUAAUUGUGCAUUUUAUUAUUAUUUUUUUUAUAUUAAAUUUUUUGUAGAUUCAAUUGAAUUUUGUUUUGAUGUGACUGACCUUUUUUUUUUUUUUUUUCCUU
This 1353-nucleotide long non-coding RNA is filed under the name Olea europaea subsp. europaea. The record is from RNAcentral. Lineage: Eukaryota; Viridiplantae; Streptophyta; Magnoliopsida; Lamiales; Oleaceae.